CUUGUGGCUCAAUGGUAGAGCUUUAGUCUUCGAAACUGAAU
Molecule: transfer RNA, 41 nt
Filed under: Fragilariopsis kerguelensis
Lineage: Eukaryota; Bacillariophyta; Bacillariophyceae; Bacillariales; Bacillariaceae
Description: partial tRNA
Source: RNAcentral